UACGGAGGGUGCAAGCGUUACCCGGAAUCACUGGGCGUAAAGGGCGUGUAGGCGGUUCGUUAAGUCUGACUUUAAAGACUGGGGCUCAACCUCAGCAGUGGGUUGGAUACUGACGAACUGGUCUUCUGGAGAGGUGAUUGGAAUUACUGGUGUAGCGGUGAAAUGCGUAGAUACCAGUAGGAACGUCUAUGGCGAAGGCAGGUCACUGGACAGAUAGAGACGCUGAGGCGCGAAAGUGUGGGGAGCAAACCGG
RNAcentral lists this ribosomal RNA (253 nucleotides) under uncultured bacterium. RNAcentral's name for it is "partial 16S ribosomal RNA". It matches the Rfam family "Bacterial small subunit ribosomal RNA", at positions 524 to 776 of the family's 1533-position model. The record is from RNAcentral.